This 497-nucleotide ribosomal RNA is filed under the name uncultured bacterium. Its description in RNAcentral is "partial 16S ribosomal RNA". It matches the Rfam family "Bacterial small subunit ribosomal RNA", at positions 28 to 507 of the family's 1533-position model. The record is from RNAcentral.
GAUGAACGCUGGCGGCGUGCCUAAUACAUGCCAGUCGAGCGAACAGACGAGGAGCUUGCUCCUCUGACGUUAGCGGCGGACGGGUGAGUAACACGUGGAUAACCUACCUAUAAGACUGGGAUAACUUCGGGAAACCGGAGCUAAUACCGGAUAAUAUAUUGAACCGCAAGGUUCAAUAGUGAAAGACGGUUUUGCUGUCACUUAUAGAUGGAUCCGCGCCGCAUUAGCUAGUUGGUAAGGUAACGGCUUACCAAGGCAACGAUGCGUAGCCGACCUGAGAGGGUGAUCGGCCACACUGGAACUGAGACACGGUCCAGACUCCUACGGGAGGCAGCAGUAGGGAAUCUUCCGCAAUGGGCGAAAGCCUGACGGAGCAACGCCGCGUGAGUGAUGAAGGUCUUCGGAUCGUAAAACUCUGUUAUUAGGGAAGAACAAAUGUGUAAGUAACUAUGCACGUCUUGACGGUACCUAAUCAGAAAGCCACGGCUAACUACGUG